Molecule: non-coding RNA, 488 nt
Organism: Camellia sinensis
Lineage: Eukaryota; Viridiplantae; Streptophyta; Magnoliopsida; Ericales; Theaceae
Source: RefSeq, a predicted model, not a curated record
UCAGUGUUUUCGACUACGAUUCACGCUAAGAUCCUGAAACGGUGCAGAUCAAGGACGCCAAGCAGAUUAGCUCAGGGUGUGUGCCCUCUGAAACCCUGACUGAGUCUCUCUCUUCGGUAUUGGCCCUGAUGAUUAGGAGUGUUUCCUUGAUUACUUAGGCUGUUUGCUCGAGGAUGACAGUAGCUGGUGUAAUGGUGCUGAUAGUGAUCCAAUUCAUCCAUCAAAAUCUGUGGACUGCAAGCUUGCGCACUUGUCAGAUGAAGUGUUUGAUUCUCAUAUAUUAAUUGCGCCAGCUUUUGUACAAAAGUUAUUCGCAGAAGCCAGUACUGACUCUGCAAGAUGUCCAUACUUGGCAAAUCUUGAGAUUGAAAGGAGGAAAUUCUUGUUUGGAAAGGGAGAUGAUGACAAACUAAUCGAGGCUCUAAUGCAAUAUUUUUUCAGGUAUAGUACAACCUUUAUGAAUUUCUUACUUUUUUGGGCAAAUUACA